This is a long non-coding RNA of Octopus sinensis (East Asian common octopus), 2471 nucleotides long. RefSeq lists it as uncharacterized. The record is from RefSeq and is a predicted model, not a curated record. The transcript has 2 exons. Lineage: Eukaryota; Metazoa; Mollusca; Cephalopoda; Octopoda; Octopodidae.
AAAUUUUUUAAGUUGUGCCUAUUAAAGAUCUUUCUAUAAUUAUGAUUGAUUGGAAAAUAUCUAUCUAUAAGUGAUAAGAAAUGUCUAUCUAUAUUAAAGGUCAUUUCGGCGGAGUAAGGUGGUGUGAACCAGAUAAUUUUCCUAUUCCUAUUUUUCCUUUUCUUUGUUACAGGACUAAUAACAGGUGUAUAAGUUAUUUCCUCCCUAGAACCACUAUCUUUUAGGGCUUUGUUAUAUAUUGGGGCAACACUAUAAAAAUGUUUAUAUCGGAGGAAUUCUCUUGCUUAUGUUUUCAACUAAAUUCUUGGGAACACUAUGGUGGGGGGAUGGCAGGAACCUACAUUAAUAUAGCUAAGUCUAUCGUUGGGUUUUCUAUAGGGUUUAUAAAUAUUCUUAUUUAAAUCUAAAGAUACAUCUAGGACAUUGUCAAGCUUCAGGUUGGUAUCUCUUGUUAUGCUAAGAUCGAAUGUUUUCAUUAUUUGGAUAAUGUCCUUCGUAAACUGAUCUUGUGCUGCUCCAACUAAUUGUCACAUAUUAUAUUUAUAGAUAAAUUCCUCUAUUUUACAUAAUAUUGAGAUCUCAUUCUUUUAUUGCCAUAUUAUUAUUAAUCACCAUCAUUAUCGUUUUUUAUAUAUACUAGAUUAGAAUUUUGUUUUACAUAAGGUUCAUGAAGUCCAUUCAGUAUUGAGGUUUCAAUUAACAUCUAGGUAAUUAACAGAGUAAUUCUCAUUUUCAAUAGUGAUUGAUAAUCCGAAACCCUUAAAAGAUUUGUGCAGUUGUUUCUUGUGUAUUUCCAGACUUCUGCUAGAUAUGUUCUUAACUAAAAACAAAGCGUUGUCUCUAUAGAAGCCGCCAUUCAAUUUAGGAAAUUCUCUACUUAGAUUAUCUAAUAAAUAAAUCCCUUCUAAAUCGGUCGUUUCUGCUGAAUCUGGCGAACCCAUUGUAAUAUCAAACAAAACGGGCGUAUCCUUCCUAGCCCAUAAUUUAUUAUUGAAUUCUAUAACCGUUUUUCUUGCUGCCAAAAUAACCUUAAUUUCUUUCAUGCUAAUGUUGGUGUGUCUUCUAGCAAAAAUUAAAGCUUGGUUAAGAAUUAUAGGAUUAAUAGAUGAGUAAUAAUUUUAGAUAUCGAAUUGGAUAAAUUUAUGGUUACUACCGUUAUUUACCUUAAUACCUGAGAAUCAAUCCAAUGCAUCCUGUGUAUUUUUCCAUAGAUUGAGCUUUAUUUUAUUUCUAAUAAUGGGUAAAUAUUUAUCAAGGAUUAAUUUACUUAAUUUACCUAAGUCUGAUUUACGAGGACAGAUUAAUCUAACUUGCGUAUUAUUAGGGAAAUUAUCUUUAUGGUCCUUAAUCGCUUUUUUGCAACCCUUGUCUGAGCUUAAUUCUUGGAUAUUCAAUUUGAAGUCCUCAUUAAAGGUUGUUCUGUAAAAACUUGGCUUGAGAAUUCUCUGAGUUCAGUAAACACAUAUUUGGCCAAAUAAUGGCUUAUAAAUGCCCAAUAGUCAGUCACUUUGUGGUCCCCCUAAAAUCGCUUUGCAGUUCCCUAGAGGACCGUGGACUCCAGUUUGAGAUCCUAUUAUUAAAGGAGGAAAUGAUGGUGGCUAAAUUGUGAGUAAGGCUAUACCCUAUUCUAAUAGUUUUAUUGUUAAUUAUUUGACAAAAUUUAUUCUUACCCUUCACAAAGUGCUUGUACAAUAAAUUAUGGAUUAUUCUAACUAUAUCCGUUUUAAUUUGCAUUGCAUAUGGGAUUAUCAGCCAUAGUGCAUCAUUAUCACUAUGUGGGUUACCUAUCAAAUUCGUAUUGUCGGCAAAAACUCUGUUCCUCUUCCAACCCAUAUGCCCUCUACGAUUAAUAUUACCAAGAUUAUGACUAAAAUCAUUGUUAAAAUUGGUUUUAUUAUUAUUAUUACAGUGUAAAUAAGUUUUUCUGUUAUCGUAGAUAAUAUCAUUAUUAGAUAGUAGGUGCAAUUUGAAAGAGAUUUAACUGCUCUUUCUUUCAUGCCAAAUGAGUUCUCAAAGAACCCAUUGCUCACUUGUAAUCUUCUUUGGUUAAUGUUCAUACUAAUGCUUAUAUUCUGAGCUUAUCCACUGAAGAAGACGAUGAUGAUGAUCACCGCACUUUAGAUUAAGACAGUGAAAAUGUUACCUGUAUGUGCAACUUUAUAAUUGCCAUUGUGAUAAAAGAUCUAUCAUAUUCAAAGCAGAAUCAUUUGUUAAUAAACACUCGGAAAAAACAUGCUAAUGUUACCGGUGUGUCUAAUUUCACAAUUAUUGCAAUUGUGGUAACAAGAACUUUCACAUGCUGUUGUUGUAAUAAAACUUAUCAUAUUACAAGUCGUACCUUCUGUCGAGACUCAUCAGGUAAAAAAAAAAGUGGAAAAUGUUUCCCUUGUGCCCAACUUCAUAACUUUUGCCAUUUUGGUAAGAAGAUCCUUUAUGUCACGAGUCAAAUCUUCUGGCAGGAUGCUUCGGAU